RNAcentral lists this transfer RNA (91 nucleotides) under Thiomicrospira sp. RNAcentral's name for it is "tRNA-Ser". It matches the Rfam family "tRNA". From Rfam's summary of the family: Transfer RNA (tRNA) molecules are approximately 80 nucleotides in length. Lineage: Bacteria; Pseudomonadati; Pseudomonadota; Gammaproteobacteria; Thiotrichales; Piscirickettsiaceae. RNAcentral also lists the same sequence under 1 other name. The record is from RNAcentral.
GGUGGAAUGGCAGAGCGGUUGAAUGCGGCAGUCUUGAAAACUGUUGUAGGUUUGUAGCCUACCCGGGGUUCGAAUCCCUGUUCCACCGCCA